AACGAACGCUGGCGGCAUGCCUAAUACAUGCAAGUCGAACGAUCACUUCGGUGGUAGUGGCGCACGGGUGCGUAACGCGUGGGAAUCUGCCCUUGGGUUCGGAAUAACAUCGGGAAACUGAUGCUAAUACCGGAUGAUGACGUAAGUCCAAAGAUUUAUCGCCCAGGGAUGAGCCCGCGUAGGAUUAGCUAGUUGGUGGGGUAAAGGCCUACCAAGGCGACGAUCCUUAGCUGGUCUGAGAGGAUGAUCAGCCACACUGGGACUGAGACACGGUCCAGACUCCUACGGGAGGCAGCAGUGGGGAAUCUUGCGCAAUGGGCGAAAGCCUGACGCAGCGACGCCGCGUGAGUGAUGAAGGCCUUCGGGUUGUAAAGCUCUGUGGGGAGAGAAGAAUUAGUGCAGCCUAAUACGUUGCAUGAUGACGGUAUCUCCUUAGCAAGCACCGGCUAACUCUGUGCCAGCAGCCGCGGUAAGACAGAGGGUGCAAACGUUGUUCGGAAUUACUGGGCGUAAAGCGAGUGUAGGCGGUCUGAAAAGUCAGGUGUGAAAGCCCUGGGCUCAACCCAGGAAGUGCACUUGAAACUGCCAGGCUAGAGUGUCGGAGAGGUUGGUGGAAUUCUCGGUGUAGAGGUGAAAUUCGUAGAUAUCGAGAGGAACACCGGUGGCGAAGGCGGCCAACUGGACGAACACUGACGCUGAGACUCGAAAGCGUGGGGAGCAAACAGGAUUAGAUACCCUGGUAGUCAA
This 747-nucleotide ribosomal RNA is filed under the name uncultured bacterium. RNAcentral describes it as "bacterial SSU rRNA". It matches the Rfam family "Bacterial small subunit ribosomal RNA", at positions 28 to 797 of the family's 1533-position model. The record is from RNAcentral.